RNAcentral lists this ribosomal RNA (479 nucleotides) under uncultured bacterium. RNAcentral describes it as "partial 16S ribosomal RNA". It matches the Rfam family "Bacterial small subunit ribosomal RNA", at positions 28 to 507 of the family's 1533-position model. The record is from RNAcentral.
GAUGAACGCUAGCGGGAGGCCUAACACAUGCAAGCCGAGCGGUAUUUGUUCUUCUGAACAGAGAGAGCGGCGCACGGGUGCGGAACACGUGUGCAACCUGCCUUUAUCUGGGGGAUAGCCUUUCGAAAGGAAGAUUAAUACCCCAUAAUAUAUUGAGUGGCAUCACUUGAUAUUGAAAACUCCGGUGGAUAGAGAUGGGCACGCGCAAGAUUAGAUAGUUGGUGAGGUAACGGCUCACCAAGUCAAUGAUCUUUAGGGGGCCUGAGAGGGUGAUCCCCCACACUGGUACUGAGACACGGACCAGACUCCUACGGGAGGCAGCAGUGAGGAAUAUUGGACAAUGGGUUAGCGACUGAUCCAGCCAUCCCGCGUGAAGGACGACGGCCCUAUGGGUUGUAAACUUCUUUUGUAUAGGGAUAAACCUACUCUCGUGAGAGUAGCUGAAGGUACUAUACGAAUAAGCACCGGCUAACUCCGUG